UCCUUCUCUGCCUUCUCUCUACCCUUACACUCAUUUGAACCGUUGAAAUUUCAAAUAGGUGGUGUUCUUUCGCUCACGGAGUUGAGAGCUUUCCUUCUAUCCGAUUAGAUUUCCAUUUGGACGGGUGGUUGUAGGGCACUGUUGGAUUCUCACUGUGAGGGGCACGGUUAGGGCACUCUAGUUGAAUAUACUGUUUGACUUCUAAGUAAGGGGAGCUAGUUAUUUUUGUUUGAAAUUAAUUUAUGAGAUAUAUGCAUGUUGAAUCCUGAAUUGGUGUGUUGAUUUAAACUGUUAUGUACCUGUUGAGUAUAAAUUGGUUGGUGUGGUGAUGCUGGAAAUUGUGCAUGUAAAAAUGUAUUGGUUGUAAGUUGUUAUGAUGAGAAUUGGUGACUGUGGUUUUGGUUGGAUUGAGCGAUAUUUCAAAUGUGAUAUGUUUAAGGUUUGGGUUCUGUCAAAGGAGGGUUAGAUGGAAGGUAAGGUAAGUAUGCACUGUUCUGAGUAAAUUGGUAGUAGUCCAGGUCAAUUGAGGGGAGGUGACAUAGUGAUUAUGAGUAACAAAGGUCUAGGAUGAGUUUACAGCGUUGAAACAAUUUAGGGGAUCCUUUGUGACUUGUUGAGAGUCUUUCUUUGUUAGUAGGAUAGAGGAACCUUAAAAAUCUGAGUUGGCACAUCCCUGAUCAUCGAGCAGCCCUGACUUGGUCCAAUCAGUUGUGACUAGUCAUAUGUGCUAGCAUCG
This 736-nucleotide small RNA is filed under the name Vigna angularis var. angularis. Its description in RNAcentral is "Non-protein coding transcript". The record is from RNAcentral. Lineage: Eukaryota; Viridiplantae; Streptophyta; Magnoliopsida; Fabales; Fabaceae.